This 1208-nucleotide ribosomal RNA is filed under the name uncultured phototrophic eukaryote. RNAcentral's name for it is "bacterial LSU rRNA". It matches the Rfam family "Bacterial large subunit ribosomal RNA", at positions 1712 to 2925 of the family's 2925-position model. The record is from RNAcentral.
CUUUCGCCAAUACUCACGGAAUCUCGGUUGAUUUCUUUUCCUAAAGGUACUAAGAUGUUUCAAUUCCCUUUGUGUGAAUCUUAAUGUGGUUUUCCACGAUGGGAAGCCAAAAAUGGUGACACAAAAAUGGGGGUGACGACUUUUUACUAAAAAAUUAGGACUCUGCUAAAUGGUAACAUGACGUAUAGGGUCUGACGUCUGCCCGGUGCUAGAAGUAUAAAAGGAGUGUUGAAAGAUACGAAUGGAAAGCCUAGUAAACGGCGGUUGUAACUAUAACAAUCAUAAAGUAGCGAAAUUCAUUGCCAGCUAAUUCCUGGCCUGCAUGAAAGACGUAACGAUUGCCCCACUGUCUCCAGUGUGGACUCAGUGAAAUUGAAUUCUCCGUGCAGAUGCGGAGUACGUGCCCCAAGACGAGAAGACCCUGUGCAUCUUUACUGUACAUUUACAUUGACAAAACCAUACGUAUGUGUAGGAUAGGUGGGAGUACAAACAUCCUUGAAAUACCACCCUUACUAUGUUUUUUGUCUAACAUCGGAGAUAGACAAUGUAUGUGAGGCAGUUUGACUGGGGCGGUCGCCUCCUAAAGAGUAACGGAGGCGUGCGAAGGUAAACUCAAUGUAGAUCGGAAACCUACUGAAGAGCGUAAUGGUAUAUGUUUGCCUGACUGCAAGAUUUACAGAUCGAGCAGAGACGAAAGUCGGUCAUAAUGAUCCACAAGUACUGCGUGGAAAGGCUUGUGCUUAACGAAUCAAAGAUACGCCAGGGAUAACAGGCUGAUAAUUCCCUAGAGUCCAUAUCGACGGAAUUGUUUGGCACCUCGAUGUUGACUGAUCAUAUCCUGGGGCUGAAGAAGGUCCCAAGGGUUCGGCUGUUCGCCGAGUAACAUGGUACCUGAGUUGAGUUUAGAACGUCGUGAGACAGUUUGGAUUCUACCUGGGGUGCGCGUAAGAAUUGAGAAAACCACAUCCUUGUACGAGAGGACCGGAUGUGUACAACCUCUGGUAUAGUAAUUGUCCGGCCACGGGCAUGGUUACUACGCUACGUUGUGAAAGGAUAAGUACUGAAAGCAUAUCAAGUACGAAACUUUUUUCAAGACAUAUUCUUUAUCGUAUUGUAUAUCGUACAAGUUGAGUACGUUAAUAGAUAAGCUGUGUAUUAUUUGUAAAAAUAGAAGCAUCCUUAUACUAAACUAUACAUUUUUUUUCUGU